GUUUAACAGCUGUAAGCUAUGUAUAUAUUGAAACGCAGUUUAUAAUAAACUCAGAGUGGCCAUCAGCCCUCUCCGCAUCUAUCCUGGUGUGUACACUGGAUCGCGACAUCGACACAUGUGCAAGAUUUGCCUUUCAGAUCAUGCUCAAACUGAGCUGAAAAGGUCUCUGUGGCUUAGUAGAUGGAAUACAAGAAAAGGAAUGUUCCUGUACCAAUGCUUGCAAACAGGAAGGAGAACUAGGAGGGGACCAUCAGUUCUGAGAAAAUCUGGGGAGCUAGAAAUGGAUGAUACUGGAUAGACUGUCAGUGUGAAAGGGAGCAGCCUCAACCCAGCGUUCCACAGAUUAAGAAUGCUUCUUUUCGGUCAGCUGCUCUGAACGUUUCAAGUCCUGAAAUCAACAAAAAGUCGUAGUGGGCUGUAGGAUAGCUUUCACGGCCAUUAACAAAUGACUUCACUGUAAUGAUCAUACCCACUCUAAUAUAUGGACCAAAGUGACAGGUGACCCACAUUUCCUUCAGGCUAAACUCUGUGAACUGCAUUUGAGAGACAUGUUUCCUGACCCCAAAGAGAAACAGUAAUUUGAGGUACUUCCAGACAGGAAUAGCAAACAGGAGGGGAAAAUGGAAAUAAGUAGAAAUGCUAAUUAGGUUUCCAAGCGCAAAGUAUAUUCAAGUCUUUCUCUUUUAAAAGAAUGUUCUAUUUCAGCAACUUGAAUUAAGAUCUCUAUUCUGACUUGCCUGUUCCUAAAACAAAAGCAAACAGCCUACAGGCCUCACUCAUUCCACAGAGCCCUCUAACAAAAUUUCCACUACACAGAGAAAAUGACGUGAAAACAGCCCAGUGUCAACUCCACAGGACACUUGAAAUUGAGAGCUAUUCCAAUCCUGAAGUCUGUAAGUUUUUUGUAAAGGACAAAAUAGUAAAUAUUUGAAGCUUCGAAGUGUAUAAGGUCUCUGUUGCAACAAUUCAAUUACUGUCAUAUUAGGAAAGCUGCUAUGCAUAUAUCAUAGAUAAUACAUGAAUGAAAUGGUAAGGCUGUGUUAAAAAGAAAAAAAAUCUGUAUUUAUGAAAACAUGUAGCAGGCUGGAUUUGGGCCACAGGCCAUAGUUUACUGACCCCUGUAUUUAUUCGCAAGCAAUGAAUGGAAAUCCAAGGAUUAACAUAUAUUUGAAGAAAAUAGUGUGAAAGAAAAAGACUAAGACGCAACACAACAAUGCAAUUUAUUCAAAGGAAACAAAUAUGUCACGGAAAAGAAGUAAAGUUGUUGGAAAAUCAAAGCAGUACCCUCAGAAAAAUUGCCUACUAAAUAAAAAAAAAUCACAACUAAAGAAUAAGAAAGUGAUGCUGUAAAAUAAGUAUAAAAUGGCAACUUAAAAAAAAGCAAUAGGUAGACUAAAUAUUAAAAUGUAAAUGACUUAAAUUCAACAUAAACAGAAAGAAAAAAAAUACAUGUAAUAAAGGACAGAAAGUUUAAGGGGCAUGAAAAACAGGUACAAGAAGAAUAACAUUUAUCUAAUUCCAGAAAUACAGAAUAGAGAAAUGAGAAAAGAAAAUAAUAAAUGAAACAAAGAAAACUUCCCAGUAUUAACUAAUAGCAGGUCUUUAUAACAGCAUAAUUUAUAAAAUGCCAAACAAGAAAAUUCAUACAUACGCACAUUGUGAUGACGACAAAGAACUCCAAAUAUAAAAAUGAAAGUCCUUGAAGCUUCCAGAGAAAGAGAGAAUAAGAAAAAAUGUGAAGAGAGUAACAUUUUUUUCCUCCAGAAAGAAUAAGAAAUAGAAAGAGAACAAAAAACCUGUCACAAGCAACAAUAUAUACCAGACAACACUGGAGAAGUGCCUUCACUCUUCUUUUUUUUUUAAAGAUUUUAUUUUUUUCCUUUUUCUCCCCAAAGCACCCCGGUACAUAGCUGUAUAUUCUUCCUUGUGGGUCCUUCUAGUUGUGGCAUGUGGGAUGCUGCCUCAGCGUGGUUUGAUGAGCAGUGCCAUGUCCGCGCCCAGGAUUCAAACCAGCGAAACACUGGGCCGCCUGUAGAGGAGCGCACGAACUUAACCACUCGGCCACGGGGCCAGCCCCUGCCUUUGCUAUUCUUGGGGAAACAAUUUUGAGGUUAGAUUUCUAUGCUAAGUCAAAAUAUUGAUCAAGGCUGAUGACAAGAUAAAUAUGUUUUUGGAUAUUCAAAGACAGAAUUCCUUGGCAUUCCAUUCAAAAUUUCUUGAAAUGGGAUUGUAUUAAGGUACUUUUUAAAUGCCACACAUAGCACAGACAACUAAAUGUGUGUACUCUUCUUAUUUUUGCUUAUGAUAAUCCAUAAAUGUGUAAUUUCAUUUGACUCAGCCAAGUGUAGAUAGACAUAUAAUUUUACUGAUAGUCUUAGACAUAGAACUAAGUCUGGAUGGCACAGAUGGUCUGGGAAACUAAGUACAGUCUUAGUAUUGUCUUUACUCUUUUUGCAUGCAAUUAACAGUGGGGAAAUUCACGGUUAUACCUAUUAUAGCGUUAACCACAUGGUGAUUAGGGGAACGUGCUGGGUACUGUUUUGUUUUGUUUUUUUAAUUACUUGGUCAUAAAAUACUUUAAUUUUUCAGCAGUAAAUGUUCCUACUUCUUCCUUACUCAUCUACAGUCUAAUUCCACCAAUAGACUUGAUCUCUCAAAUUUCAUAAGACUUUCUAAUUAUUGAACCAAUAGGAUCUUGCCUUACCUGUCUUGAUUUUACUGCAAUCACUUGAGUUAUUUCACAAUUUUGUCUAAUGUCUCCUUAUUAUAUCCUUCUAUUGCUUGGUCUCUGAAAAAUCUGAAGUCUCUUUUUUUAAUCUCUUCACUUGACCCUUCUUAGUUUUCUUUUCUGGUUUUCCUUGUUUAACCACCACUUAAGUUCUUAGUGCUUAGCUUUUUCCCACUGCAUUCUCAUAGAACAAAAGCAUUUUCCAUUAUGACCAAAGUAUUAACUACUCGGUUAGUCCCCCAUCUGUAUCUUUCCCCCUGAUAUUUCUCCAGACUUCCAAAGAUGAAAUUCAGAAGACCUGCAGAUAUCGUCCCACGGAUGCCACAUCAAGCCUCUAAUUCAACAUCUCUAAAAUAAAAGUGUUAUUACCCAUCCUCCCAACUUAGGUCUGUUCCUAGAUUCAGUAUCCUCGGUAAAGGGUACUUCCAUCUCUCUUGAACAUGUAGCCCUGGUACCUUGCCAAUUUUUGGCUCUUCCUUCAUCUUCUUCUCCCAUGACUCUUCUCUUUCCUUGAUUUCAAUCUUCCAAUCAGUUACCACCAAUUAACUGUAAGUAGAAAAAUGAAAAGAAUAUUCCUGAGUCAUGCUGAGGAAAAAAUAGAUACUUGACUAAAGAUUGCUGUUGCUUGAUUUAAAAUCAAAUGUAGAAGGUGAGAGUAAGAACUACAUUUCUCAUAGUAAUAGAGAUAUUUGAGAAGAUGCUAGGUAGGGAAAGAAGAGCACCAGGGGAGAGGUGUUUGUCAAAUUUCCUACACUCUGCAUUCAUAGACAUUCUCUUCUCCUAUAAUAGUCCUAGGAAUCCCCCAAAACAAAUUCCAUUUUCCAGAUAACUGAAUAUUUCUUUAUCAAAGCUGAACCAGGAAUCUCAGUGAUAUCUUUCUGAAAGUACGCUGUCAAUUUUCUGCAAUGCUAAUCAAAGAAGGAAAUUCUCCUCUUCGUGGGACUCUCAAGUUGCACCAUGAGAACGUAUUGUGGUAGUUUAACGCAUCUUAGUGUCGCCGGCAAACUGGGGCAAGAAUGAACUUCUUCUCUAUUCAUUAAACUUUUCAAACACGUGUUUAGAUUUUUUGUUUUCAAUUCACAUAGUAUAAUUUUUUUCCUUCUUUCCAUAAAGGUCAGCUAUUUUACUGCCACCGAGAAAGUCGGUUUCCCUCUUUCCAAAUACCUUCUUAAAAUUUUCCAAGGAUUUGGAAAUCAGACAACUCAGCCUAGAAUGUUGAAAUUUUACAAUGUUAAAACUUCUUAAAAUUGCCCCACAAUAUCUGUUAAUAGGUUUUGUGUAAAGACAAGAUAAAUGCACUCUUUAUGAACAUUAUGUUACUUUGUUAUGUAUUUCCCUUCUCAGAAAACUUUUGAGUUGUUCCUAAUUUUCCACAAUGUUUCAGAGAGUGGUGAAUGCCAGAACACCGAUGACUAUAUUACUCUGACCUUUUACUGUAGUUGAGAAGCUUUGACUUACACAUAUUUUAAAUUAUUCCUCCUUCAGAUUAAGUUCCAUUUCCUUUCACUUAGCCCUCUGUGGAGAUGAAUAACAGCUGAUGUCUUGCCUCAGCCGCUAAACCUGCAUAACACCUGAAUACUAUUAUUUGAUCACUUCUUCAACAUAAGGGGGGGCAGAACUCUCUGCCUGGCACUGUGCAGGACCUCGGGGCUGCGCAACAGGGAAGAAGACAGAUAUGGACAGUCUGUAUUCUCCUGGAGCCUAUAUGACAUUGGAGGAGACAAUGAUCAAGACAAUAAGCAAGAAAAUACAACAUUUGCAAGCUAUAAUACAGCAAAGUGAACAAAUCCAUCUGUGCAGUUAGAUCAUUACAUGAUGAGCACACUGAGGCACCUACCACCCACAUUAACAAAGUGAACUUGACCGGCACCCCGGAAGCCUCUCUCUUGCUCCUUCCAGUCACUGACCCCUCUCAAGGUUUUAGAUUUCUGCUUCAGAAAUGAUGUCUCCUCUGGAACAGAGCAAUGACUUUAGAAGUGCCCUCAGUGCAUCCAGGGUCCUUCUGCAAACCCAUUCUUGGCACUGACCUAUGGUUCCCUGUCGGAAACAGGGAUCAAACCACCCUCAUACCCUAUCCUCAGUCAUCCCCAUUUCUUCCACUGUGAUCAGAGAAUGGGUCUGGAGGAAAGCAGGCUAUGGACAGGGUAUUGUCAUCCACACCACAGAAGAGGAGAAGAAGAUUGUUUGCAACUUGUUCUCUCAUCCUCCAUCCAACUAGUUUUGCUGAAAGAUUUUACUUAAGAAGGGGCCAUUACACCUUAUACAAAAUUUAACUCAAAAUAGAUUAUAAAUCUAAGUGUAAAAUGUAUAGCUAUAAAACUUUCAGAAUAAAACAUAGGAGAAAAUCCUCAUGAUUUAGAGUUCAGCAAAUAGUUCUUGGACAUGACAUCAAAAAUAUGAUCCAUGCGAGAAAAUAAACUAAAACCUUAUUUAGAUUUCACUAAUUGUCACUGGCAUUUCUGUGUAUAUGUGUGUUUGUAUGUAAUACUGUGAACUUUUAACAUGUGUAUAGUAACUAUCACCAGAACCAGGGUACAGAGCUAUGUCAUCACCACAAAGGAAAAUGAGUUGAUCCGUUUUAUAUUACUAUAAGUUUGUCAUAUUAAGAAUAUUAUAUAAAUGGAAUCAUAUAGCAUGUGAUAUUUUGAUAUUAGCUUUAUUUAAUAUGUGUCAUACAUUUGAAACUCAUCUAAGUUGUGAAUAUCAUUAGUUUGCUCUUUUUAUGUCUGAGUAGUAUUGUAUGGAUGUCCCACUGUUUAUCUUUUUGCCACUUGCAUGACAUUGGGUAGUAUGCAUUUUUUGGCAAUUACAAAUAAAGUUGCUAGAAACUUGUGUGUAGAGGUUUUUGUGUGCAUAUAUACAUUCAAAUACCCUGCACAGCAGAUCAAUAAUGACAUUUUAAAUAACAUUUUGUAUCAACAUCUUCAUUUUAAGGAAUUGUGUAUAAAUAAUGAACAUAAUACAAUUAACAAAAGGCAUAAAGAGAUGUUUUUAGUAAUAAUUUUCUGAAGUUUACUUAGAAACAGAUUGAGCAGUAAUUCUUGGGUGACUUUUAGUAAAUUUGGGUUCUCUAUUAGUAUCUUUUUAACUGUUCAGUGUAACUUUUCUCUUUAUAAAUACUUUUUUAAAAUAGUCAUAAUUUAGCUAAAACUUGAAUGAAAAGCUUAUACAGUAGUUUUGCUGGUUAGUCUACCUAUGUUUUAAAAUGUCCUUUAGUUUCUAG
This 5951-nucleotide long non-coding RNA is filed under the name Equus caballus (horse). RNAcentral's name for it is "lncRNA (ENSECAG00000048406.1)". The record is from RNAcentral. Lineage: Eukaryota; Metazoa; Chordata; Mammalia; Perissodactyla; Equidae.